GAGAUUGGUCACGGCUACUGCUUUCCCACAAAAGUCUCGCCUCUCCCUGCUGCCGCUUGCCGUCGCCCAUCUCUCCUCCCCUCUAUUCUGGCCAUCUGCUAGUGGAUUGCUUGAUCUGCUACAGUGCUAAUCUCAGGUACUUUCUUUUUUUUCUUAUUCAACUAUCAUUGCUAUUCUGUGCUAUUGUGGUUUACUGGUUUCUCACAAAAGUUUUCUUGAAAUAUAUUCAUGUAUAUAUGUUUUCAGCCCUCUUUCGUUUUUGUCCCUGCAUUUACCUGCACUUUUUAGAUGUUGAGUUGGUGACUUGUACAGAGCAGUAUUGGGAACUGAAUCAAACAAAAGCAAGUGUGGAGUCUAAAUGGAGUUGAGGGGUUGAGGGAAGUUCAUAAAACACUUUUCAGAUUUUGCUGUAUGAUGAUAGUGUGAUAUCUGGAAUUAUACGAAAUGAAUGAGUAGAUUUUGGAGAAGCAUUAGCAUUUCUGCCGCUAAUUUUUUUGUGCCACUUGUAGUGGUAUUUUUUCCUUUUUUCUUUCUUGAUCAAGGACAACUGGGGAACUUUUGCAUUGCUUCAUGGUUGUUUGUAAAUGUCAAAUUACAUAUUAAAAUGAAAUCUUACAUAUAUAAUUUCAAGUUGGUGUUGGAGAUUAGCAGGUCAGAGUGACUUGGUGAAUUGAUCAUAGUUACAUUUAAAAAAUUUCUUCUUAACCAUGUAAUGUGAAAGCUGUUCCAUCUAAUUAAGAAGUAGGUACAGAUGCUCCAACUCAAUUUCCCCAAGUCAUCAGCUAGAGAAGUCUUGUGCUGUAGCAAGGCAGCAAUGGCAAAUACUGAGCUUUAUUUUCCACAAUAAAGCAAAGUAUAUACACAAAUGGUCCUGGACAUUUUGCAGCAAUGAGGCCUAAUCUAAAAGGAGAUGCUGAAACCACAACCACCUUGGCUCUGGAUAAUAAUUUCAUUUUUCUGUGAUCAUUGGUUCGUUUUUCUUCCCCUUUCUUUUACCCUCCUUCCUUUUCCAUCAGCUCUUUAUCUUCCCGUCUUUUCUUCCGACCAUGGAAUUGUUUCAGUCCGCUGGACAGCACUAGGCCGAUAAAGCAUACCAAAUUUAUUCUUUUACCUUUAGCUGUGCAAAGUUCAGCAUCAUUAUUGCAAAAUCUUAGAAGAUAGUUUCCAUGCAUUUCUUUACCAAGAGUUGGUAACUUGAUAGUAAAAAUUUAAGGCAAAGAAAGAGAAGAUAAUGAUAUUUUAUUUAGAUAUAUAAUUCAUUCCACGUACAUAAUGGCAAGAGAAGUAACUCUAACCCAUGGCAUGGAUGAUGGACCUCUCACUCUAUCUAGUUAUAUUGCCAAUGUCCCCAAAUGCAAUUGCCACCUUAGAUUUUUACUCUCUUUUUGGCCUGAUCUCUAUCCCUUGAACAACCAGACCGUGCUUCCAGUUAAGACGCUUCACUUCUAAAACACUUAUUUCCAGCUCUCAUAUAUAUAUAUAUAUAUAUAAACGUAAUGUGAUUGUUAAAUACACACAAGCGUAAACGCAGUCCUACAUGGACUAAUUGGAGACUAUAUCACUUUAUGGAGAUCAGUAGAAUAGCACAGGUAUUUCGAAAGUUGAUUACCUUCCCAAGCACCCAAAGGUAACAGAGAGGAAGUGAUAAGAGAGAGAAAUCAAAACACCGCACUGGAGAAUAUGAAAAUCAUAUGAAAGAUCCUGACUCUAUCCAUUUGUAAAACAAACUACUAAUCUCUCAUUUUUGUGAUUUUAAGGCAAUCUAGAAGAAGAUUGGUUUUGCUGAGAAUCACUAGGAACAAAUACAGGAAGUUGGCCACCCCUCUGUGAUCUGCCCUGCUGAUAAUGAUUCAAUGCGGAACCUCUAUCUAGGCCAGGUGCCACUGAACUACUACUUCUUGUCCCUCUGCCUAGCGGCUCAUUCGCAAGAGGGCCGCCAAAGAAUAUAGAUUGAUUUGUGUACAAAAGCUCUGCUCCAGGAACCUGAGAAGAACCAACACCUCUGGAUGAAGAGGAGACGAAGCGUCCAGCUUCAGGAUCCCAAUACACUGAGGUUCUCAAAUUCUCCACUGCACCCAGGUUUCUUCUUGAAUGAAUUUGUGCCACAUUUUCUUGGGGUGCAUUCCCAGUUGCUUCACUUCGUCUUGUGGAAAAAGGAGAUUGGUUUUCUGAUGAUUGAUAAAUGGGGUUCAAGUGCUCCCUGUUUGAAGUUUGCUGGUGUAAUGGAGAGGUGGUGAGGUUGGAGACGUUAACACUACUGAUGUUGCUAAGACUUUGGUUGCAUGCUUCAAUAUCAUCCCUGCUAGCAUGACUAACAUUGCUGGGUGCAUAUGAAUUGCUCCUAGAAGGAGAUACUCUUGAUGUCCCUGUUCUAGCAUUUCUAUUAUGAAACCCCUGAUCUGUACUAAUAGGGCUGCUCUUUCCACUAACAUUGCUACUAGAUAAAUGAUCAGUGUCAUAUGGAUGAUGUCGAGAACUUAUUGGACGUAGCACUGACGAUGAUGCUCUAGCCUUAGCAGCCGCUUUAAUUGCCUCAUUGGAAUCCAACUUUGCAAGUUUCCAGGCACUGAUUCGAACUGGACGAUGCGGCAGUUUUUUGCCUUUGUCAGCUUCUUGAGUUGCAUCUGGGUCAACUGUAGAUGGUAGGCGUCCAGGCUCCAAAUGUGGAAUAAUUUCAUCCUGGUGGUCCAUGAAAAUUCUUGGAGGGGUACACCAAGCACCUUUGUAUUGCAAGCUCAUUCCAAUAGAACUUCUUCCACUUGCAGCAGUCACAGCUGAACUAGUUGGUGAAGAUGGGAGACUUUGCUGGUCUCCCCCGUCUACAGAUGGUCCAGGUGGUUCACUUUGAGUUCUCAUGGCAACAACAUACUCAUAUGUUGUGAUACCCUUCCGAAUAAGAAUCAUGUGGAAAAAGAAUAGUUCUCCCAAUGGCACAGUGGCAAGAAAAGACACAGCUGUGCACACUGCCACAACAGUAGCGAAGGGGGGACGGGAGAAUCCAAUGCCAAGCUUCUCUGUUAUUUGAUGGUCCAUACCCUUUCUAUCUACAAAACACCGGACAAGGACCACAAUGCCAACUCCAAAUUCAACAACAAGCCAAACAAGGCUAGUUGCCAUAAGGGACACAAAGGUGAUGUAAUUCUUCCUUCCUACACAAUUGUUCAACCACCGACAAUGAUGAUCAAAUCCAUCAACACAUUUGUCACAACUUCUGCAAUGUUUGCUGAACUUGCGCACCUCAGCGUUGCACAAUGUGCAGAAUAAAGCCUCCUCCCCAGAUUGUUGCUGAAGAAUAUCUUCAUCACUGCAGCAAUCUUGUUUCACAAGAAAACCACAAAAGAAACCCCCAAGGUUUGAACACCAACUUGAACCAUUUCUAUUUGAUUUCCCUCCGUCCUUUAACCUCAUCUUGCUAGGUUCUUCAAUAGAAGAUGCAUUUCCAGGCAGAUCCAUGUCAUUUUGUGAUUUAUGUGCUGCUGUCUCAUCAACUUCAAGCAGAAUUCCAGGAUCAGCAGGAUCAAUAGCAGUGCAUCGUACAUAAAGAAUGAAUACAGCAAGCGCUAAGACAGAAUAAACACCAACAGCCACGUAUUCAUAGAUAUCCUUCCCAAGAAAGGGAGCAAAGAAGGCAUAAUAUGCAACAGAUAGCAAGAAGAAAACCGUUAUUGCCACAAUCUGAAAAGUGUGGACAGGGAGUUGCCAUCCGUUACGUCUAGCCAUAAUAAACAAAACCCACUAGUACAAGCUCGUAAAUCAACACCACCUACGCUCUAAAACCACCAUUUGAACAAAAAGCCGACUCCAACAGAACCCAAAAUGCAAAAAAUUCACAAAACCAUUUCAAACAAAAACUGAGCGCAUUCCUGUAAACAACAGUUUAUUCCCUGUUCAAUCUCGGCCCAUACACUAAAAGGUCAGUUUUGAGACUCAUGAAGCUGGUUUUUGAGCUUCUGCGCAGAGUUUAAUUCAUUGAUCGAAGAGACUUGAGGAGAAGAACCAGAGAAUAAAAAAAGGGACCGUAUUA
RNAcentral lists this unclassified non-coding RNA (4024 nucleotides) under Hevea brasiliensis (rubber tree). Lineage: Eukaryota; Viridiplantae; Streptophyta; Magnoliopsida; Malpighiales; Euphorbiaceae. The record is from RNAcentral.